AGCCCCUGUGUGGCUGUUUGUCUGACAUGGGGACAAAGACGUGGAGAUGGAUGCUAAAACUAAAUCCUCUUCUGCAACCCAAAACUCAAUGCUCUGUACGAGUUCUGAUACAGAGAAGGAGGAACAUG
Sorex fumeus (smoky shrew) is the source of this 128-nucleotide small nucleolar RNA. RefSeq annotates it as small nucleolar RNA SNORA40. NCBI's taxonomy places the organism in Eukaryota, Metazoa, Chordata, Mammalia, Eulipotyphla, Soricidae. The transcript has a single exon. The record is from RefSeq and is a predicted model, not a curated record.